RNAcentral lists this long non-coding RNA (240 nucleotides) under Mytilus galloprovincialis (Mediterranean mussel). The record is from RNAcentral. Lineage: Eukaryota; Metazoa; Mollusca; Bivalvia; Mytilida; Mytilidae.
CGGUUAUUCAGUUUGUGAUUCUGGGGCCUGGUUUUCGAAAGUAUCUUAUGACUAAGACAUGUCUUAUGAUGGCCUUAGGACAUGUCAUAGUCGUAAGAUAUGUUUUCGUAAGUGUCCCAAGUUACGAUUUGUCAUAACUUUUGUCGUAUGCAGUUUGACUAAACAGUGUAGUGUAUAUUAUUAAACUGCAUAUCAGGUUAUUUUAUGUAAACAGACGACUGUUUUUUAACCAUACGAAAG